CCUACGGGUGGCUGCAGUGGGGAAUAUUGCACAAUGGGGGAAACCCUGAUGCAGCAACGCCGCGUGGGUGAAGGAGCGUUUCGGCGCGUAAAGCCCUGUCAGCGGGGAAGAAGAUAGACGGUACUCGACCAAGAAGCCUUGGCUAACCACGUGCCAGCAGCCGCGGCAAUACGGAGGGGGCGAGCGUGGUCCGGAGUGACUGGGCGUAAAGGGUGCGUAGACGGCGGUGUAAGCCUUGAGUGAAAGACCGCGGCGCAACCUCAGUACUGCUAGGGGGACUGUUUUACUGGAGUAUGAGAGGGGUUAGCAGAAUUCCUGGUGUAGCGGUGAAAUGCGUAGAUAGCAGGAGGAACACCGGUGGCGAAGGCGGCUUACUGGAUCAAAACUGACGUUGAGGUUCGAAAGCGUGGGGAGCGAACAGGAUUAGAUACCCUUGUAGUC
RNAcentral lists this ribosomal RNA (441 nucleotides) under uncultured bacterium. RNAcentral's name for it is "partial 16S ribosomal RNA". It matches the Rfam family "Bacterial small subunit ribosomal RNA", at positions 338 to 795 of the family's 1533-position model. The record is from RNAcentral.